UACGUAGGGGUCGAGCGUUGUCCGGAGUUACUGGGCGUAAAGCGUGCGCAGGCGGCUUCCUGCGCCCGGCGUGAAAGCCCCCGGCUCAACCGGGGAGGGUCGUCGGGGACGGGGAAGCUUGAGGGUAUCAGGGGCUGGUGGAAUUCCCGGUGUAGUGGUGAAAUGCGUAGAGAUCGGGAGGAACACCCGUGGCGAAGGCGGCCAGCUGGGAUACACCUGACGCUGAGGCACGAAGGCGUGGGGAG
This 245-nucleotide ribosomal RNA is filed under the name uncultured Nitrolancea sp. Its description in RNAcentral is "partial 16S ribosomal RNA". It matches the Rfam family "Bacterial small subunit ribosomal RNA", at positions 524 to 768 of the family's 1533-position model. The record is from RNAcentral. Lineage: Bacteria; Pseudomonadati; Thermomicrobiota; Thermomicrobia; Sphaerobacterales; Sphaerobacteraceae.